RNAcentral lists this ribosomal RNA (1461 nucleotides) under uncultured Bordetella sp. Its description in RNAcentral is "partial 16S-23S ribosomal RNA intergenic spacer". It matches the Rfam family "Bacterial small subunit ribosomal RNA". The record is from RNAcentral. Lineage: Bacteria; Pseudomonadati; Pseudomonadota; Betaproteobacteria; Burkholderiales; Alcaligenaceae.
UGAACGCUGGCGGGAUGCUUUACACAUGCAAGUCGAACGGCAGCACGGACUUCGGUCUGGUGGCGAGCGGCGAACGGGUGAGUAAUGUAUCGGAACGUGCCUAGUAGCGGGGGAUAACUACGCGAAAGCGGUGAAGCACAAUGCCGCCCUUCGGGGAAAGCGGGGGGACCUUCGGGCCUCGCACUAUUAGAGCGGCCGAUAUCGGAUUAGCUAGUUGGUGGGGUAACGGUCACCAUGGCGACGAUCCGUAGCUGGUUUGAGAGGACGACCAGCCACACUGGGACUGGAGACACGGCCCAGACUCCUACGGAGGCAGCAGUGGGGAAUUUUCCGACAAUGGGGGAAACCCUGAUCCAGCCAUCCUCCAUGUGUGCGAUGAAGACCUUCGGGUUAAAGCACUUUCUUUGGCAGGAAAGAAACGGCACGGGAUAAUACCCCGUGCAACUGACGGUACCUGCAGAAUAAGCACCGGCUAACUACGUGCCAGCAGCCGCGGUAAUACGUAGGGUGCAAGCGUUAAUCGGAAUUACCGCGUAAAAGCGUGCGCAGGCGGUUCGGAAAGAAAGAUGUGAAAUCCCAGAGCUUAACUUUGGAACUGCAUUUUUAACUACCGCCUAGAGUGUGUCAGAGGGAGGUGGAAUUCCGCGUAGCAGUGAAAUGGUGUAGAUAUGUGGAGGAACACCGAUGGCGAAGGCAGCCUCCUGGGAUAACACUGACGCUCAUGCACGAAAGCGUGGGAGCAAACAGGAUUAGAUACCCUGGUAGUCCACGCCCUAAACGAUGUCAACUAGCUGUUGGGGCCUUCGCCUGUAGCGCGCAGCUAACGCGUGAAGUUGACCGCCUGGGGAGUACGGUCGCAAGAUUAAAACUCAAAGGAAUUGACGGGGACCCGCACAAGCGGUGGAUGAUGUGGAUUAAUUCGAUGCACGCGAAAACCUUACUCAGCCCUUGACAUGUCUGGAAUCCCGAAGAGAUUUGGGAGUGCUCGCAAGAGAACCGAACACAGGUGCUGCAUGGCUGUCGUCAGCUCGUGUCGUGAGAUGCUGGGUUAAGUCCCGCAACGAGCGCAACCCUUGGUCAUUAGUUGCUACGAAAGGGCACUCUAAUGAGACUGCCGGUGACAAACCGGAGGAAGGUGGAUGACGUCAAGUCCUCAUGGCCCUUAUGGGUAGGGCUUCACACGUCAUACAAUGGUCGGGACAGAGGGUCGCCAACCAAGUAGUGGGGAGCCAAUCCCAGAAACCCGAUCGUAGUCCGGAUCGCAGUCUGCAACUCGACUGCGUGAAGUCGGAAUCGCUAGUAAUCGCGGAUCAGCAUGUCGCGGUGAAUACGUUCCCGGGUCUUGUACACACCGCCCGUCACACCAUGGGAGUGGGUUUUACCAGAAGUAGUUAGCCUAACCGUAAGGAGGGCGAUUACCACGGUAGGAUCUAAGACUGGGGUGAAGUCGUAACAAGGUAA